UACAGAGGGUGCAAGCGUUAAUCGGAAUUACUGGGCGUAAAGGGCGCGUAGGCGGCCCGCUAAGUCGAACGUGAAAUCCCCGAGCUCAACUCGGGAACUGCGUCGGAUACUGAAUGGCUUGAAUUCGGGAGAGGGAUGCAGAAUUCCAGGUGUAGCGGUGAAAUGCGUAGAUAUCUGGAGGAAUACCGGUGGCGAAGGCGGCAUCCUGGACCGACAUUGACGCUGAACGGCGAAAGCUAGGGGAGCAAACGGG
Molecule: ribosomal RNA, 253 nt
Filed under: uncultured bacterium
Lineage: Bacteria
Description: partial 16S ribosomal RNA
Rfam family: Bacterial small subunit ribosomal RNA
Source: RNAcentral